RNAcentral lists this transfer RNA (87 nucleotides) under Bacillota bacterium. RNAcentral's name for it is "tRNA-Leu". It matches the Rfam family "tRNA". From Rfam's summary of the family: Transfer RNA (tRNA) molecules are approximately 80 nucleotides in length. The record is from RNAcentral. RNAcentral also lists the same sequence under 1 other name. Lineage: Bacteria; Bacillati; Bacillota.
GCCCGGGUGGUGAAACUGGUAGACGCAAUGGACUCAAAAUCCAUCGAUAGAGAUAUCGUGUCGGUUCGAGCCCGACCCCGGGCACCA